ACUCUCUGGCUUCUCUUGAGUUGUCGAAUAAAUUUUUCGCCGUUUACUAAAGAUUUCCGGGAAGGGGAGCACUCUAAUAAGUAUAAAAUGCAUUUUUGCAGAGAUUGGGACUGUUUGGUU
Small nuclear RNA from Anastrepha obliqua, 120 nucleotides. RefSeq annotates it as U5 spliceosomal RNA. NCBI's taxonomy places the organism in Eukaryota, Metazoa, Arthropoda, Insecta, Diptera, Tephritidae. The record is from RefSeq and is a predicted model, not a curated record. The transcript has a single exon.